Molecule: ribosomal RNA, 82 nt
Filed under: Astraeus hygrometricus
Lineage: Eukaryota; Fungi; Basidiomycota; Agaricomycetes; Boletales; Astraeaceae
Description: partial 5.8 ribosomal RNA
Rfam family: 5.8S ribosomal RNA
About the family: 5.8S ribosomal RNA (5.8S rRNA) is a component of the large subunit of the eukaryotic ribosome. It is transcribed by RNA polymerase I as part of the 45S precursor that also contains 18S and 28S rRNA. Functionally, it is thought that 5.8S rRNA may be involved in ribosome translocation.
Source: RNAcentral
UUGAGAUUUUCGUGAUCAUCGAAUCUUUGAACGCACCUUGCGCUCCUCGGUAUUCCGAGGAGCAUGCCUGUUUGAGUGUCAU